AGUGAACGCUGGCGGCAGGCCUAACACAUGCAAGUCGAGCGGCAGCGCGUCCGACCACCCUCGGGUGGUCGGAUGGCGGCGAGCGGCGGACGGGUGAGGAAUGCAUCGGAAUCUGCCUCGUUGUGGGGGAUAACGUAGGGAAACUUACGCUAAUACCGCAUACGACCUACGGGUGAAAGUGGGGGACCUUCGGGCCUCACGCGAUGAGAUGAGCCGAUGCCGGAUUAGCUAGUUGGCGGGGUAAAGGCCCACCAAGGCGACGAUCGAUAGCUGGUCUGAGAGGAUGAUCAGCCACACUGGAACUGAGACACGGUCCAGACUCCUACGGGAGGCAGCAGUAGGGAAUAUUGGACAAUGGGCGCAAGCCUGAUCCAGCAAUGCCGCGUGCAGG
This 391-nucleotide ribosomal RNA is filed under the name uncultured bacterium. RNAcentral's name for it is "bacterial SSU rRNA". It matches the Rfam family "Bacterial small subunit ribosomal RNA", at positions 30 to 407 of the family's 1533-position model. The record is from RNAcentral.